RNAcentral lists this transfer RNA (84 nucleotides) under Thermoplasmatales archaeon. RNAcentral describes it as "tRNA-Leu". It matches the Rfam family "tRNA". Rfam says of the family: Transfer RNA (tRNA) molecules are approximately 80 nucleotides in length. Their secondary structure includes four short double-helical elements and three loops (D, anti-codon, and T loops). Further hydrogen bonds mediate the characteristic L-shaped molecular structure. tRNAs have two regions of fundamental functional importance: the anti-codon, which is responsible for specific mRNA codon recognition, and the 3' end, to which the tRNAs corresponding amino acid is attached (by aminoacyl-tRNA synthetases). tRNAs cope with the degeneracy of the genetic code in two manners: having more than one tRNA (with a specific anti-codon) for a particular amino acid; and 'wobble' base-pairing, i.e. permitting non-standard base-pairing at the 3rd anti-codon position. Lineage: Archaea; Methanobacteriati; Thermoplasmatota; Thermoplasmata; Thermoplasmatales. The record is from RNAcentral.
GUGGGGGUAGCCAAGCCCGGCCAAAGGCGCGGGACUUAGGAUCCCGUCUUUAGCGGUUCGAGGGUUCAAAUCCCUUCCCCCACA